This 793-nucleotide ribosomal RNA is filed under the name uncultured bacterium. RNAcentral's name for it is "bacterial SSU rRNA". It matches the Rfam family "Bacterial small subunit ribosomal RNA", at positions 66 to 830 of the family's 1533-position model. The record is from RNAcentral.
UGAUCUGACGUGCUUGCGCUGAAGUGACGAUGGAUUACCAGUGAGCGGCGGACGGGUGAGUAACACGUGGGCAACCUGCCCUGAAGCGGGGGAUAACAUUUGGAAACAGGUGCUAAUACCGCAUAACAACGAAAACCACAUGGUUUUCGUUUCAAAGAUGGUUUCGGCUAUCACUUCAGGAUGGGCCCGCGGUGCAUUAGCUUGUUGGUAGGGUAACGGCCUACCAAGGCAAUGAUGCAUAGCCGAGUUGAGAGACUGAUCGGCCACAAUGGAACUGAGACACGGUCCAUACUCCUACGGGAGGCAGCAGUAGGGAAUCUUCCACAAUGGGCGCAAGCCUGAUGGAGCGACACCGCGUGAGUGAAGAAGGGUUUCGGCUCGUAAAGCUCUGUUGUUGAAGAAGAACGUGCGUGAGAGCAACUGUUCACGCAGUGACGGUAUUCAACCAGAAAGUCACGGCUAACUACGUGCCAGCAGCCGCGGUAAUACGUAGGUGGCAAGCGUUAUCCGGAUUUAUUGGGCGUAAAGCGAGCGCAGGCGGUUGCUUAAGUCUGAUGUGAAAGCCUUCGGCUUAACCGAAGAAGUGCAUCGGAAACUGAGCGACUUGAGUGCAGAAGAGGACAGUGGAACUCCAUGUGUAGCGGUGGAAUGCGUAGAUAUAUGGAAGAACACCAGUGGCGAAGGCGGCUGUCUGGUCUGCAACUGACGCUGAGGCUCGAAAGCAUGGGUAGCGAACAGGAUUAGAUACCCUGGUAGUCCAUGCCGUAAACAAUGAGUGCUAGGUGUUGGAGGG